This 532-nucleotide small RNA is filed under the name Pongo abelii (Sumatran orangutan). Its description in RNAcentral is "processed transcript". Lineage: Eukaryota; Metazoa; Chordata; Mammalia; Primates; Hominidae. The record is from RNAcentral.
ACAACAUCAAUGCCCAAAAGAGAGCGGCAGUCCGAAGGCUGGUAGGAAACGGGCAGCUGGAGAUUGCGACAGGAGGCUGGGUGAUGCCGGAUGAGGCCAAUUCCCACUACUUUGCAUUGAUUGACCAGCUCAUCGAAGGACACCAGUGGCUGGAGAGAAAUCUUGGUGCAACCCCCCGCUCUGGCUGGGCAGUGGACCCCUUUGGAUACAGCUCCACCAUGCCUUACCUGCUGCGCCGUGCCAACCUCACCAGCAUGCUGAUUCAGAGAGUGCACUAUGCCAUCAAGAAGCACUUUGCUGCCACCCACAGCCUAGAGUUCAUGUGGAGGCAGACAUGGGCCCUAGGUCCAGUUACAGCCUCACAGUCUAUCAGGGCUGUCUUUAGCCUGAGCAGAUCCAUGCCCUCCUGACGUCCCGAAGCUGCCUGCUGGUGGUGACCACGUGGUGUGUCUUCUGCAGACUCGGACUCCAGCACAGACAUCUUCUGUCACAUGAUGCCCUUCUACAGCUAUGACGUCCCCCAUACCUGUGG